Molecule: long non-coding RNA, 23292 nt
Filed under: Brassica napus (rape)
Lineage: Eukaryota; Viridiplantae; Streptophyta; Magnoliopsida; Brassicales; Brassicaceae
Description: long non-coding RNA (BNAP_LNC006196)
Source: RNAcentral
AUGGAAUAAUUCCCAAAUUGCAGAUAAGGCAGAAUGAAACCCUAAUUUUCCAAAAUCGGGAACCCUAACAAUCCCAAUCUCACGAAAGAUCCAAUCUUUAAACGAAACGAUACGAGAAAACGAAACCCUAAUUUCAAAAUCAACAACCCUAUAACAGUCAACAAAUCUCCGAUUCAAAUCACGAUCGAUUCCAUAAGAGCCCUAACAAUCUCAAUCGCAACAAAGAUCCAACCUUUAAUCGAAACCCCUAAAUUUCGUAACCCUAAUUUUUCAAAAUUCGAAAACCCUAAAUCAAUCAAUCAAGAAGCAAACAAACCAGGAUGAGCUCAAAGAGGGUAGCUUGAUCGAUCUUCAUAAACUCAGCAUCCCAAGCCUUGAGGUCAUCGUCGGAGGAGCCACCGCCAUCGACGGCCUCGCUCUUGGAAGCAGCAGCGUCGACGUGCUUCUUGCAGUACUCAAUCACCUUGGCGAGGAUCUUGCUCGUGACGUUGGGAAGAGGGACUCCGUUGUCGACGCAGUCGUCUUCAACCAUGUGGGCUAUGGUCUGAGACUCGAGAGCCACCGCCUCGUCGACCUCGAAAGACUCGCCAUCGGAGCUCUUCAACACGAUCUUCUUCGUCGACAUGUUUGUGAGAAAACGCGAGAGGAGAUUUGAGAGAAGGGAUGAAGUGGAGGAGAUCCCUAAUUUUUCUUUAUAAGUGGGUCGAUUGUUACAAAGUCAUCGCGAGAUUAGGAAUAAAAGGAAAUCUUUUAUUUGUUUCCAAUUCUAAAAUUAGGAAAUAUAGAAAAUAAUCCUAAUUAGUUAGUUGCUCAAAGAAAGAAAAUAAUCCUAAUUUCAUUAAUCUUAACUUUUUAAGUUAAUUUUGAUACGAUUAAUUCGUUAUUUGGACUUUGGAUAUUUUGAAAAAAAAAAAAAAAAAGGCAACAACAUAAAGCAAGAAACUGGUUGGUUUGCUUCAACGAUCUCUCCCACUCUCUCACGCAUCAUUCAAAAGCCCAUUGGUUCUCCCUGCGCACCUCCUCUUCUUCCUCUGGUGAAAAGUCGUUCUUGAUGUUGAAGGUCGUGCGAAUCUCCUCCGGAGUCUUGCCCUUGAUCAUGUCAGCCACUGUCUGGCAUGUCAGGUCGAGAAGGUUCUUGAUGUUCAGAUAAUUAGCAGCCUGCAACAUCCAAAACCAAAAAUUUCAGAUUCAAAUCAACUUUACAUAUCUCAAUCUUAGGAAAGAUCCAAUCUUUACCCGAAACUGAAAACACAAAUGGAAUAAUUCCCAAAUUGCAGAUAAGGCAGAAUGAAACCCUAAUUUUCCAAAAUCGGGAACCCUAACAAUCCCAAUCUCACGAAAGAUCCAAUCUUUAAACGAAACGAUACGAGAAAACGAAACCCUAAUUUCAAAAUCAACAACCCUAUAACAGUCAACAAAUCUCCGAUUCAAAUCACGAUCGAUUCCAUAAGAGCCCUAACAAUCUCAAUCGCAACAAAGAUCCAACCUUUAAUCGAAACCCCUAAAUUUCGUAACCCUAAUUUUUCAAAAUUCGAAAACCCUAAAUCAAUCAAUCAAGAAGCAAACAAACCAGGAUGAGCUCAAAGAGGGUAGCUUGAUCGAUCUUCAUAAACUCAGCAUCCCAAGCCUUGAGGUCAUCGUCGGAGGAGCCACCGCCAUCGACGGCCUCGCUCUUGGAAGCAGCAGCGUCGACGUGCUUCUUGCAGUACUCAAUCACCUUGGCGAGGAUCUUGCUCGUGACGUUGGGAAGCGGGACUCCGUUGUCGACGCAGUCGUCUUCGACCAUGUGGGCUAUGGUCUGAGACUCGAGAGCCACGGCCUCGUCGACCUCGAAAGACUCGCCAUCGGAGCUCUUCAACACGAUCUUCUUCGUCGACAUGUUUGUGAGGAAAGGCGAGAGGAGAUUUGAGAGAAGCGAGAUGAAGUGGAGGAGAUAAGGAGAUCCCUAAUUGUCUUUUUUAUAAGUGGGUGGAUUGUUAGAAAGUCAUCGCGAGAUUAUAUUUCCAAUUAUGAGAAAAAGAAAUAUAGAAAAUAAUCCUAAUUAGUUGCUCAAAAAAAGAAAAUAAUCCUAAUUUCAUUAAUCUUAACUUUUAAGUUAAUUUUGAUCCGAUUAAUUCGUUAUUUGGACUUUGAAUAUUUUGAAGAAUGAAGAGAGAAAUGCAUAUAUUGUUAUAGGGGUGGCGUUCGGGUAUCCGUUCGGGUUCGGGUCAGUUAUUUCGGAUUUUCCGGUAUUUCGGUAUAGCAGUGUAGAACUUGUUCGGGUAUUUCUAUAUUUCGGGUUGGGUUCAGGUAUUUUUAGUUCAGAUUCAGUUAUUUCGGAUCGGGUUCAGAUAUUUAGAGUUUGAAUAAAAAAAUUAAAAUUUUCAUUUUUCAAAUUUCUUGUAUUUAAAAGUAUAACUUUCACUUAACUAAUUAUUUAUUUUUAACAGACUGAAUGGUUAAUAAAUUUGGACACAACAUUUAAAAACUAAAAAAACAUUAAUUUAGUUAUUUUUUUUUAAUUUUGGAUGUAACUUUUUGUUAAUUUUUGAAAUAAAAACUUGACAAGCAUUUUAAGUGAGUAGCAAAUCAUAUUUUCCGUAAUUGUAUGUAUAUCAUAUGAACUUAAAGUAUGUGUAGUAUCAAUAUAAAUAUUUUAUAUAAAAUGAGAGAUGUAAACUAGAAAUAUAAGGUUAAUUAUACAUAUGUUCGGUUAUCUUCGGAUAUCUAUUCGGGUUCGGGUAUUAUCCGUUCGGGUUCGGGCAUCCAAUCUCUCCUAAUUCAAUACCCGUUCGGUAUUUUUCUACUUCGGUUCGGGUUUUUCGGAUUGGAUGGGUGCCACUUCGGAUAUCGGAUAAAGUGUCCACCCCUAUAUUGUUAUGUUGAAAACCAACUUCCGACAAGAACCCAAGUAGUCUCGAUUAUGACCCGUACAAAUCUCAAACACAACAUGGUAAACAGGUGAGUAAGCUGUAGUAGAUGCUCGGUAAUAAACCCGAUAAAUCAUCUCUUUUCAUGGAAAAGAAUCAUGGUAAGCUGAAGUAGAUGCUCAAUAGAGGAGGAUGAUGGUACCGGUAACAGAAUCAGUGAACCCACCAAACGAUUCAUCCUUAAAGAAUGGUAUAACAAUGCUCGCGUAGUAUUGACCCGAAGGAACCCCUUGGAAAUCAAAAUUACCAAACCCGUAAGUAGUCGACUCGUUGUGGUAGAUUCUUAAUUAUUUGUUACGAGUUCUAAGCUAAGAACCAGGACCUGCGCCCUUGCUAUUGAAUCUGCUCUCACUCCAUUUACAAGUUUACUUUAUUUUUUGAUCAACUACUUCAUUUAGAUAAUUAAAGAAGUUCAGCAGAUAGAGAUUCAGUCCACAUGUGAGCCCAAUACAGAUAGAUGAGUUAUGAGACUGGUCUUGGCCAAAGAGUCGGCUCUUCCAUUCUCAUCCCUUUUGGAAUGAAAUAAACUGAAAUGUCGAUAAGCAGAGAAGAAUUGAAAGACUCUUGAUGUCUUCCACGAUGCCAUCUCUCUACAUUUAACAAGGCCCGAGAUGAAAUCUGAUUCUACAGCUAUGUAGACUAUUGCUUGAAGAGGGAUCUAUUGCCACACCUGUUUUGUAAAGUCGCAACUGAAGAACAGGUGAGUACGUAGCUGUCUCUACUUCUCCACAAUGAGGGCAAUUAACAAGUUUACUUCAUUUCGUACAAUAAAUAUGGAAAAUCAUUUGAGCCCAAAGGAGUUACACAUACUAUCAAGAUGGUUAAGAUACAUAAAUAUCAUUAGCAGCUUCGGUUGAUAAGAAAUAAAUGGGAAAUAUGUAACACCAAUAUUUGUUUUCUAUACAUUCUUACGUUAACUUCAUUUUUAUAUGGAGGUACCAACUGAUGGUGCGUGUAAACUCAUAUCAAUAGUAUAGAAACAUGUGGGUUUGUUUGUGAACUCAUAUCAAUAGUAUAGAAACAUGUGGUGUUAUAACUAUACUACGUUUUUGUCUUUGUUUGUUAGAUGGAAACUAAAAAUAGUAUUGAGUACACGCAUAAUGAAUGUCAGCAUGUUUUACGAAGAUAACAUGAGUUCCAUAAUUCUGAUAAGAAAUACAAAAGGAAUAAUGCUUUUAAUAAUUACUAUUGAAUUUUAAGAAUAGGUAGUCACUUUACACCAGAGAAAAAUUGGAUAUAUGAUGAUUUAUCUCGCAACGAUUGGAGCGAAUGGAUCUACUAGAUUAGUAAUAUGUAUAGUAUAGUACGUUUAUAAGUUGAUAAUUUCAAAGAAGACAGAUGAAACAAUAAGAAAAUGUUACUUUAUUUAGAGGGAAUACAAUUUUCAAAUACACAAACAAAACAUGAUGAAAUAUAAUCAAUCAUUACGAAGUGACAAUAGUUUUUAAUUCAGAUAAACUGAUUAACAAAUUUGUCAACCAACAAUGAGACUAAAACUUUGUAAGUUUUUUCUGUGGGAUGAUAACUGUCCCAAAAUACAUGGCUAGACACGUCAGGACAUACUGAAGAUGUGAUUUUAUUGCAGAGGACAGCAACUUCUAUGGCUCCUGUUCCACAGCAUCCUUUGUUAGAUACUCCAAAUCCUACAAUAACCCAAAUCAUAACUUUAAUUUUAGGGUAUUUUUCAUACUAAAGUAAAUUUAAAAAUAAAUUUUAGGGUAUUACCGUAUUUUGUGGGAUUCUGGAUGAUAUCAUAAAGAGGGUCAUAGAUAUUAAUGUAGACCGGUUUACUAUCCGGUAGAGUUUUACGCAGGUAAUCCAAUUUUGUGGAGAUCUUUGAAUUAAAGAGCUUUGCUGCGUCAUUGUAAUACUCAGCACACUCUCUCAAAAGACCUCCUCCUAAGGUUCUCUGUGAUGGGAUACAACCAAGUGGUGGUGCACCAAACACAGCUAUUCUUCUUACUCCAUAUCCGUAUAGUUUCUGUUAUCAUAAUUAAUGAAUAGGUUGGUAAUACUAAAUUCAUAAACGUUAGAAAACUCAACACACACAUAGUUGCCUAUUCUCAGAGAUGAGAAGGAUAAAAGAUGUGACACAUCAACGAUCAGUCUAUACAUGGUACUCCAGUUAUUAAUGCCUUAAAGUGAUGUAUCACGGAAAAAUGUAAACUAUUUAGUCGGUAUUUUAUUUUUGAUAUAUGACUGUCCUUCAUCGAAAUCAAAAUGUGUGGACCUCUGAAAAGUAAAUCAAAAGUGUUAUGAAAGGUCGAUAACCUGGUAGACUUUUACUACUUUUAGCAUAUUUAUACGUUUUUUUGGCUCAGCCAGUAAACUGUAAAUGGUUAUUUUUUUAACUCUUUUAAUCAUACUUACCUAGAGAGAUAAAAGUAUACUACUAUUGUGGAAUAUGAUAUAUAUAAUAUAUAUAUAUAUAUAUAUAUAUAUACAGAUUUUUCUAAAUUAUGGGAGAAGCUUACAUUCACAAAAUCGGAGGCAGAGUUGGCCAUAAGAGUAGUGUACGAAUCGACGUCAUAGUGAGGUCUUGCAUGAAGAUCAUAGUAAGUAUUGGCGAUGUCGUCGCUUCCUGCGACCAAUAAGAACAAGCUGCUGGCUAAUAUGAAGUUUUUUCUUUCUUCCCCCACUAAAUUCUUCACUUUUUCUAUGUACUCCUCAAAAUAUUCCAACUGCUUUUGUAAUGAUAUUGCUGCCUAAUAUCAUCAACAAACACAAGUGAGACGACCAAGUUAAAUAGGUAAAUAUCAAAUCAAAUAUGUCCAUAUGUUAUAGGAGUACAGUUAGUUAAAAAGAACGUAUGAUCGCCAUAUUACUUAUAUAUUUAUUAUUACCACGAGUUUGGGUGUUAUAGGAUCAUAACCAGAACCUCCCGACGCAAAUGAUACACCGGUUAAAAGAUCUUUAGGCGUUAGAUUUGGAUCGAGAUAUGCGGGUACAACUGAUUUUAUCCCCACUUCCUCAGCUGCAAAUAAGAAGAGAAACAUUAAAGACAAAUAGCUUUCUUUUCACCGUUUUAAAAUCAGUAUUAUCGUGGAACACUAAUUUUCCUGACAUGUGUUAUACAUAUCGAGUCAAUGUUACUAGCCUUGUCUUUAACUACCAUCCAAAAAUGGAACACAAAACAAAUGAUUGCUCAAAUAAUUUGCCGUCGUCACUAACUUCACUUGUGUCCUAAAACCUAACGGUACUAGAGCUGAAAAGGGUAAAGUCAUAAAAAACCAAGAUAAUGGACCUAGCAAAUCGGCAGGAACUCGUCCGUCGCAGAAUCUCCCGGUGGGGACUCCGCCUUGGAAAUUGAUACCGUAAGGUUGAAAAUCGCACUUAACAACGGUUUUGACAUUGUUGUUAUUUCCAGUGUCAACGAUGGAGUCUCCGAAAGCUAUUAGCGCUGGAAUCUUCAAGUUUGGCGGCAGCUUGAUGGCGACGACUGUCUCAGUGAGAAAGAGAAUGGACAGCAAACAUAGUUUUAGCGAAGAACAAGAACUAGACCGGCUUGUAUUCUCUUUCAUGUUUCCUUUCUUGUAUUGUGAAAAUAAAACAAGAUUUUAUAAAAAGAUAAAUUUUCUUGGAAGCUUUACAAUAACCAGGGAAAACAGGGAACCACGUUUGCUCUCAUGGUUCCUAUCACGCUUAUUUAUAUACAAACACAUGUAGAUGUAUAUGUAUAUAUAUUGCAUUGUGUGGUGAAGAUGUCGUGGACUUGUGGUAGACUUCGGACAAGAUAUACUUAACCAGUUGACUGAAACAUUUCUAGAUAUAGAUAAUGUAUUACAACAAGUUUAAGCGUGGAUAACAGCUGAGACAGUGUACUAAUCUCAACUCUCAACCACAUCAGUUUUAAUUUAAUAACUAACGACAUAAAUCUAAAAGUGCGUAUGUCGAAACACGUAUUGCCAGCAGACUGUGACAAGAAGCAUCUAUAAUACUAUAUUAGUGCGUAUGUCUGUCAACUCUAAUUAUAUAUAGUCGGGGAUUAUGUAAUACUUUCUUUCAGUCUUUCAGCUGAUAUCCUCAUUUGAAAAUUCAAAAUUUACUACCAUAAAUCGUCUAUAGUGAUCAUUAUGGUGUGGAUAGCACAAUCUUCUUUUUUUUUUGGUGUAAUGGAUAGCACAAUCUUUUGUGUUUUCAUAUAACAUACCACCAGAGAAGACUAAGUUUAUAACAAAAGAUCGAACAUUUGGGUUGCUUCCUUUUUCGAUUCUAUUGUAUUGAUUUUUUGUGUGAAUUAGUUUUUUUUUUUGUGGGGGGGGAGGGCGGGUAAAAUUAACAGCAAUUUUUGACUGAUCUUAUGUCAGUAAAAAUAUACAAAUAUCAUUCAUAUAUUAUUCUGGAUAAAGAUUAUUCAUAUAAUAUAAUUUAAGUUUUAAAUGGAUUUGAUUGUUCUUCUCGAUCAGGGCCUGAUAAAUUUAGUUUAGGAAUAUUUCGAAGAUAUAUGUAAUGUGUGUAGUAAUGUUUAAUAAACUUUCUUUUAAUUUGGUUGACUCGAUUGGUUAAGUUUUAUUUAAUUUGCCGCAUCUAAUUACUUUUAAAUGCAAUACUAAAAAGUAUGGUCAAGGUAGGAUAAGCCACCCAUUCGAUAGCUUAUUAUAACGGACAUAAACUUCUUAUGAAUACUUAUUAGUUUAUGUUUUAUUAAUUUAAAACCAACAUAAUAAGUUAUUAUUUAUGUUUUUAAAUAUUUAAAUCAAACAUCAAAGUAUUUAUAUAUGUCAAAUAUUUUUUUAUCAAAAUAUAUAGUUACUAUUGUGUUAAUUUCUUUUAAGACACUCAUAUCUUAGAAAUAGUUUAGAAAAUAUCUUUAUAUAAUUUUUUUGCUUGACUAAUAUUUAAUUAUCAAUUUUUUUAUCUUAACUUUUGUAACUUUUAUAAUAAAAUAUUAUUUUCAGAUAGCAACACAAUAUAUAUAAGAAUAAUCUUAUUUUUUAUAAUUCUAUUAUAUUAUUUAAUCAAUUAUUUAAUGUAACAUAUAACAUAUAAACUUUAUACUAUUAAAAUAAAAUUCAUUUUAAUUAUAUAUAAAAUUCAGUAAAUAUAUUGUUUAAAAUUAGUUUUUAAUAUAACAUACAAAUUUAAUAUUAUUAACAUUCGUUUUUGAUUAUAUACAAGAUUCAUUAAGGAUAAUUUUAAAUUAAUAUAUUAAUGACUCAGCUAAUAACAAAUAAUAAAUCAAUGAUUUAGCUAAAAUCUAAUAAAAACAUGACAAGUAAACAAAAUUACCUAAAAUUAUGGAAAACAUGAUAAAUAAGCAAAAUCACUUCAUAAAUAAUAGUAUAGAUUUUUUGACAUGACAUAUAUAGUUUCACAUUUAGAUAUAUUUGUAAGCAAGUCAUAAAUUUUGAUAAUAAUAAUAUUUAUAAUUUGACAUGACAUAUAUAUAUAUAUAUAUAUAUAUAUAUAUGUUAUCAAACGUUUGCUUAUAGGACAUCUAAAAUUUUUAGUCAAAAAACAUAAAAUAUAUGUUAUCAAACAUUUUCUUAUAGGACAUCUAAAAUUUUUAGUCCGGUGGAUGGUUCCAACUUAAUUUAAAAUAAAUCAAAAACCUGUACCGUAAUAAAGAUCAAUGUAAAUAUUAGAAUUUCGCAAUCCAAAUAUAAUAUAUAAUCUCAUGCGACAAGUAGGCUACGUUGAAAUGCUAAGACUUAUUAACUAAAGAAUCUCAUAAUUAAAAUCUUUGAGCAUGUGCUCUAAUUAAAUUGUUACCAAACUAGAACUUUGUAGGUCAUCAUAAUCAAUGCAUCAAGACUUCUAGAGCCCAUCAAGCUAAACAAUAUAUAAGAUAUCGUUGGUAUCAUUUUUGGUCUCUUCUGUAACAUAUUCUACUUUUUAGAGUUCUUUAAAAAUCGACUCAAUUCACUCAACCACUUAACAUACGUAAAUAAGAAUAACUGAAAAAUGGAACAAAGGCGUAGGGUAGAUAUGUGGAUCACACCCAACAGGUGAUACUACCACAAAAUUUGGUGUGAAGAAGGUAGCUUUCUCCAUAUACACGUGAUAUAAAAGGUCCAAAGAGACAUUAGCAAGAAAAAGAUGUGAAAUAUAUUAAUGGAAAAAUGUUUAUCGAGAAAAACUUGCUGUCCAAAUGUACUAAUAGUUAUAGAUUAUAAAUAGCAAGCCAGACUAUCCGAAAAAUCAAGCUAAUUAAGAGUAAGAUACAUUGACAAGGCUACUUAAUUUAAUGAUUUACACAACCAGAAUAUCGCCCAACCACUAUCUAACAUAAUUGUGGCUAUCAUAAAUUAUAUGCGUAGAAAAAGAAAGCAAAAAAACUGUAUAUGCGUACAUUAGGGUUUUCCUUUUAAUUAAGAGUAAAGUCAUUUACAGUUUUUCUUAGUUGAAAACGAAUAUCAUUACAAGAUUCGAAGUUAAUUUUAGUUUAUGUAUUCUUAUUUUUAACAGAAACUUAUAGACUGCAAAUUGAAGUGAUAUACGAGGAGAAGUUAUUUUGAUAUUCAAAAAUUAUUUGAUUCCACCAUAAAAGCUUAUAAACCAACGCAAUUAGUUUAUUAUAUAGAUGGUCCUGUAGCUAGCUAUACGUUAUGGGGUCAUCUUAUACUAGUCUAUGGUAUCCAUAUAUUGUAGAAGAUAGGCCCCGUAAUGUAUCGCAGUUACAACAAUAUUAUGUAAUAACUCGACAGCGACAAACUUGAAGUGAUGUAGUAUAUAGCUUCCACGUACAGUAAAGACAAAAAAGUGAAGCCAUUAAUUGAAUUUUUAGAAUUCGGUUUGAUAAGCAUCCAUUAAUUGUUUGAUAUUAAAUUGAUCAUUUAUUAUUUGGUCCAUUAUGUUAAAAAUAUUAAAUCCUCAGAUAAUUAAUUAGUCCAAAAUUUGAUCCAAGCCAACGCUAGAAUAAAUAACUAGAUUUAGAUAUUAAAUCACUCGUAUAAUUUAUUAGUCCAAAAAUUGAUCCAAGUAAAUCUAGAAUAAUUAACUAGACUCAGAGGUAGAAGUGUUCAAUCCAAAUUACUGUUUAGUUUUGUUAGCUUUUUAGUUUUUAUUGACUAGAAUUCAGUUUUGGUUCGGACUAGAUUUUAGAAAAAGCCCUUAAUUUUCAAAUGUUUUAAUUUUGGAACUGUUUUUUUUGUUUGUUAAGCUUUGAUUUUCAAUUUUCAGUUAGAGAAAAUACAUUUAUUUAAAGCAUAUAUUAAAAUUACUCCCUUUAUUUGUUAAGUUUCCUUAUACCAUCUGAGGCCAAAAUGUGUAACAUGAUUUUCUCUUAAAUAUCAUCCAAUCAUGCAAUCUCUAGAUUCCUUCUUGUAAAUUCUAGUAGAGCUAGCCUGUCACCAAUUGCCUAUCUACGUUACAGCCAAUUGUUGUUAUAUAAUUAAAAAUGAAUAAAAUCAAAAUUCUGUCUUUUUGCUCAGACCGUUCAUUCCUUGUUAGAUAAUUAUACCUCCAACCAGUCGAGGCAAGUGAUGCAUGGCCUAUGAUAUUUUCGUGUUUUAAUGAGUUUGAGUGAUUCUCUGGAGUCCACUUUGCGUAUUUUUAUUUGUUUUGGAGCUAUCAGCUACGAGUACUUUUAUUUUAACGUUGUGGUGUGUGGUAUACUGGUAUGUAUAGGAUUCUUGUAAAACUUCACUAAGAACGCUGACAUUUUUCUUUUGAAAGCCUAUCUUAUUUGAAUUUUUGGAUACUUUUCUUAUUUGAACUUGACCAGAGUAUAUAAUUUCUAUCUUUGAUAUUCUUUUUAAAUGCAUCUCUUAUUUUCAUUUCUUUAUAUAUAUAUAUAUAUAUAUAUAUAUUAUAUUAUAUCUGAAAUAGACAGAUUUGAACAUAAUGAUUAGUAAUUUAUGUUUUCUAAGAGCAUUUCCAAAAGAAACACUAUACCCCUAAUUUCAAAUAUAGUUUUUUUUUGUUUUCCAAAAAAAAGUUUCAAAACUUCAAAUUCAUAUUUUUUUUUUGCAUUUUGGUAUUUACAUUGGACUCACUCUCUUCGAAUAUUCAAAUAUAUACUCCAAAUGUACACAUCAUAUUUAUAAUUCUUAAAUAUUUUUUUUGUUUACCGUUUUAAUCCUCAAAAAUAUAUAUCUCAUAAAUAUUUCACAUUUUUUUUAUAAAUUUAAGUUUUACACAUAAAAUUAAAUAAAAAUUUUAAAAUAAGAUUUAAAAUAUUUUAAAACAAUAUUUUAUCAACAACAAUAUUACAAAAGAAACCUAAUAAAAAGGUUUAAAACGUACACGAAGACAUAAUUGAUCAUAUAGCAGAAAAUAAGGAAACCCGAUUCAACAAUUUUUAGCUCAAAAUUGUAAGGUCACUUCUUACUUUGAAAUGCACUAGUUGAUCAUAUAUGCGAGCAUUAUAGAAAUAAUUUUAUAAAAUAAUGUGGUAUUUUUCUUGUAAUUUAAUAUUUAAGAUUGUAUUUCUAUUGAUAAUUUUAUUUAUAACUGUAAAAUUUAUUAACUAAUAUUGAUGUAAUAUUUUUAUAUAUGUGCUAUUUAUUUUGUAAAAGUUUUAUAAAUUUAAAUUAAUUAUGACAAAUAUAAGGACCAUAGUAUAAAAUACAAAUAAUUUUGAAGUUAAGUUUGAAGUUUUGGUUUUGGAGAAAAACACUUUUAAACUUUAAAUAUUGAUUUUUGCAAACUUUAAAAAUAGAGAGUUUUUUUGAAAUGUUUUAAAAUCAACAACCUAUUUCACUAAGAUGUAUAGUUUAGUGGCUCGUGGGUCAACCCACAUGAACUCCUCUUUUGAUAUGGCUUAUAAUCUAUAAUCUGGUCGGUCGCGGAUCGUACUACAAAAUCGACUAACCCAAAAAUAUAUCACACUGUCUGAUCCGAGUUUGAAAUACCUUCUGACUAAUGACAAGGGGUGGAUCGAUUACGAUUCACCAUGUUAUCACUUGUACAAAAAUUCAAAUUAAAACUGACCAAAGUAAUGAUAAAUUAGUUCUCAACUGAAUUUAACUCAGGAUCAAUGUGGAUAUACAAUAACUCCUAAAAAGUUAUCACUCAGCUACUAUUUCUCAGGUACCCAUACGAAAUUUAUUUGAUAAAAAAACAAUAAUGGUUUAAGUUUUCUGAACUAUAUUAUUAUUAUUGUUAUCCCUUAAUAAUAUAGUAAACCUUCUAAUAAUUUUAGACGUAAGCACGGUCAUGAAUCGCUAUGUGACGAUGUGUGUGAUCGAUCUUGAUCUUGAUCUUGAACCAUAAUAUUUUGUUGUAAUAUUUUGUCGAACAAGAUACGUUAAUAUUGUGUGAUCGAUCUUGAUCUCCGUUAUGGAAGAUGAUCGUGCUCUCCACUUGGGCCAGUAAUGGGCCAAAAUGCUUUUAACUCACCUUUUACCUUAUGGGUUAUGGGUUCAAGUUCUAAUGAUAUGUGUUCACUUAUAAAAACUCUAUUGGAUCUGCUGACCAUGAUACACUAGCCAUCUUGGUUUGUAACAUUUUAUUUCUUUUCUGCUAUUUAAAUUGAAAGCCUUUUUACAAAAAAAACAAAAUACGUUAAUAUUUGGGUUUGUGUUGAACUAAAUAUUUGGGCCUUCCGCUAAAUUGGUUUUCCACUUUCGCUUCAUUGUCAUGUUUAGCUUUCAGACGAAGAAAAUCUAUGGACUUUAGAGUUCUUUUGGGCCUGCGUUGAACAUAUUUUAAUUACCUUUGUUCAUUUCCAAUCUCCUUCCAUUUUUAAAUAGAGUGCAGAGUAAAAUCUACUCUAAUCUUAUUUUAUUUUUGUUGACAAAAAAACUAUUUUAUUUUCACUUUAUAAAUUAAGAUUACUACAAAAAUAAAGUAAUUAUUUUAUUUUAUAUAUAUAUUUUUUCAUUUUUACUCCAAAACAUAGUAGGUUGAAGUGAAACUCAACUACACUAUAGACUUCUUUUUUUUUUUAGAAAAUGGAAUAAUACAUUUGAUAUUAUUAUAAUCAUGUUGGUUAUGAAAUUUAGAAAGCCACAAAUAUCUUGAUAUAGUUUUAUUAGCUUUUAACAAUAUGAAUUAUAAAUUCUAUAUACAUUAGCUCUCUAAAAUUUAAAGAUGAAGACUAAUGUUUCAGUAGAAUAUGUCAAUAACCAAUCCUACUUAAUUUUUUUUAAACUAAGGUAGUAAGCACUUAAUAGCACCUGGCUUGUUUUUUUAACUUAGCCUUUGGCCAAAUUUUCUCAACCAUUUAUAGAAAGAUGGGGUCGAAAUCCCGUGCUUGUUGCUAGUUAAUCAGAACGUUUUGCUUCUAUGUAAAAUUUCUAACCUUUUGUUUCCUUUUUGUAUUGCUUUGUGCUCCUUUUUCUUUUGUGUAACUGAUCUUGGCAGCAAGUUUAAUUUCCGAUCAGGACUCUGUGACAAGUGUCAAUCUUCAUUGUUGGUACCACUAUUGCUCUAUAAAAUGGAAAAGAACAAAAUGUUCCGAAGUUGUGAACAAUUUCAAGCAUAUAUACAGGAACAUUCUUUAUAUAACCACAAAACAUCAUAAAAGACACUUACAAGCUAUUGAAAAGAGAAAAGAUGAUUUUAAAAAGUAUAGUUUAUAUAUCUUUUCAUUUGUAAUGAUAAUUCAAAAAUGAAGUAUGGCCGACAUGUUAAAAAGUAGGUGUUAUAUAUCGAUUAACUAGAAGAAUCUGUUGAGAUAUCUCUGAAGAAGCUUUGCAACUAUGUUUCUGUAAGCUGUUUCAGUGGGAUGAAAACUGUCCCAAAACACAUAAUCCGAUCUCACGGGACAUACAGCGGCUGUAUAGUUGUUGCAUAGAGCAGUCACUUCUAUUAACCCGGUUCCGCAACAUCCUAAAUUACUCACCUUAAAUCCUAUAAAAAAUUCAUGAAAAUAUGUUAAAAGAAUUGAUUGUUUCAUUGAAAAGAGAAGUAAUGACUAAUUACCAUAUUGUUGAGGGUUUAAAAUGAGAUCAAGAAGAGGAUCAUAGAUGUCAAUAUAUAUUAAAGUCGUGUCUUGUAGGGUUCUUGACAAGCCAUCAAUAUUAGCAGAGAGUUUAGCAUUGAAAAGUUUACACGCAUCAUUAAACCGAACAACACAAUCUCUUGUUGGUCCUCCAGCUACAGUUCUCUGCGAAGGGACACAUCCUAUUGGUGGUGCACCAAACAUAAGUAUUCUUCUUGCACCAUAUUGGUACAGUGUCUACCAACAUCACACGAUAAACCAAAUAAGAGAUUAAAUAUAAUUCUUCAAAUAAUUUUCUAAAGUAGCAAAAAUCUAUAAUUACAAUAGUACAGUAAUCAAUUAAGAGAAGAAAGGUCAACAUGAAUUUAUGAUAAUUGAUAACCUUGCAGUAAGUAAAACUCUAAAAGUCAUCCCUAUCAAGGAUUUUUCAAGUAUAGACUUUCACAAUAUACAUUAAUAUUUAUAGUAAGAAAAUUUCUCAAAAACUUAACAGAUUUGUGCCAAGUCUUUUAUUUGAAAAAAUUUAUAUGAUUUUUUGGGUUAAAUUCACCCAUUAUAAUAUUAAUGUAUGGUGAAAAGAUUUUCUUUAAAAAACUCUAGCUAAUGAUGCUCUAAAUACCGUUGGCUUUUUACCCUAGCAAAAGAGCGAGCAUUGUCGGCCAUAAGAGCAGUGAAAGAAGCCACGUUGUAUUGGAGCUGAGUCGUAGGGAGACUAAAGAAGUUGUUUGCGAUAUCGUUACUACCACAUAUAAUAACGAACAAGCUAUUCGUAAUUAUGAACGUUGUCCUCUCUUGUCCCACCAUUCCAUUCAAUUUCUCUAUAUACUCUUCAAAAAAUUUCAGUUGUUGCGAUAAUGGUAUUCCUCCCUUUAACGAUUAGAAAAAACUAAUAGUUAAUAUUUAAAAGUUCAUUAGAUAAACAUCAAACAUAAGAAGUGGUGCUUCUUGUAAAUUCUAGUAGAGCUAGCCUGUCACCAAUUGCCUAUCUACGUUACAGCCAAUUGUUGUUAUAUAAUUAAAAAUGAAUAAAAUCAAAAUUCUGUCUUUUUGCUCAGACCGUUCAUUCCUUGUUAGAUAAUUAUACCUCCAACCAGUCGAGGCAAGUGAUGCAUGGCCUAUGAUAUUUUCGUGUUUUAAUGAGUUUGAGUGAUUCUCUGGAGUCCACUUUGCGUAUUUUUAUUUGUUUUGGAGCUAUCAGCUACGAGUACUUUUAUUUUAACGUUGUGGUGUGUGGUAUACUGGUAUGUAUAGGAUUCUUGUAAAACUUCACUAAGAACGCUGACAUUUUUCUUUUGAAAGCCUAUCUUAUUUGAAUUUUUGGAUACUUUUCUUAUUUGAACUUGACCAGAGUAUAUAAUUUCUAUCUUUGAUAUUCUUUUUAAAUGCAUCUCUUAUUUUCAUUUCUUUAUAUAUAUAUAUAUAUAUAUAUAUAUUAUAUUAUAUCUGAAAUAGACAGAUUUGAACAUAAUGAUUAGUAAUUUAUGUUUUCUAAGAGCAUUUCCAAAAGAAACACUAUACCCCUAAUUUCAAAUAUAGUUUUUUUUUGUUUUCCAAAAAAAAGUUUCAAAACUUCAAAUUCAUAUUUUUUUUUUGCAUUUUGGUAUUUACAUUGGACUCACUCUCUUCGAAUAUUCAAAUAUAUACUCCAAAUGUACACAUCAUAUUUAUAAUUCUUAAAUAUUUUUUUUGUUUACCGUUUUAAUCCUCAAAAAUAUAUAUCUCAUAAAUAUUUCACAUUUUUUUUAUAAAUUUAAGUUUUACACAUAAAAUUAAAUAAAAAUUUUAAAAUAAGAUUUAAAAUAUUUUAAAACAAUAUUUUAUCAACAACAAUAUUACAAAAGAAACCUAAUAAAAAGGUUUAAAACGUACACGAAGACAUAAUUGAUCAUAUAGCAGAAAAUAAGGAAACCCGAUUCAACAAUUUUUAGCUCAAAAUUGUAAGGUCACUUCUUACUUUGAAAUGCACUAGUUGAUCAUAUAUGCGAGCAUUAUAGAAAUAAUUUUAUAAAAUAAUGUGGUAUUUUUCUUGUAAUUUAAUAUUUAAGAUUGUAUUUCUAUUGAUAAUUUUAUUUAUAACUGUAAAAUUUAUUAACUAAUAUUGAUGUAAUAUUUUUAUAUAUGUGCUAUUUAUUUUGUAAAAGUUUUAUAAAUUUAAAUUAAUUAUGACAAAUAUAAGGACCAUAGUAUAAAAUACAAAUAAUUUUGAAGUUAAGUUUGAAGUUUUGGUUUUGGAGAAAAACACUUUUAAACUUUAAAUAUUGAUUUUUGCAAACUUUAAAAAUAGAGAGUUUUUUUGAAAUGUUUUAAAAUCAACAACCUAUUUCACUAAGAUGUAUAGUUUAGUGGCUCGUGGGUCAACCCACAUGAACUCCUCUUUUGAUAUGGCUUAUAAUCUAUAAUCUGGUCGGUCGCGGAUCGUACUACAAAAUCGACUAACCCAAAAAUAUAUCACACUGUCUGAUCCGAGUUUGAAAUACCUUCUGACUAAUGACAAGGGGUGGAUCGAUUACGAUUCACCAUGUUAUCACUUGUACAAAAAUUCAAAUUAAAACUGACCAAAGUAAUGAUAAAUUAGUUCUCAACUGAAUUUAACUCAGGAUCAAUGUGGAUAUACAAUAACUCCUAAAAAGUUAUCACUCAGCUACUAUUUCUCAGGUACCCAUACGAAAUUUAUUUGAUAAAAAAACAAUAAUGGUUUAAGUUUUCUGAACUAUAUUAUUAUUAUUGUUAUCCCUUAAUAAUAUAGUAAACCUUCUAAUAAUUUUAGACGUAAGCACGGUCAUGAAUCGCUAUGUGACGAUGUGUGUGAUCGAUCUUGAUCUUGAUCUUGAACCAUAAUAUUUUGUUGUAAUAUUUUGUCGAACAAGAUACGUUAAUAUUGUGUGAUCGAUCUUGAUCUCCGUUAUGGAAGAUGAUCGUGCUCUCCACUUGGGCCAGUAAUGGGCCAAAAUGCUUUUAACUCACCUUUUACCUUAUGGGUUAUGGGUUCAAGUUCUAAUGAUAUGUGUUCACUUAUAAAAACUCUAUUGGAUCUGCUGACCAUGAUACACUAGCCAUCUUGGUUUGUAACAUUUUAUUUCUUUUCUGCUAUUUAAAUUGAAAGCCUUUUUACAAAAAAAACAAAAUACGUUAAUAUUUGGGUUUGUGUUGAACUAAAUAUUUGGGCCUUCCGCUAAAUUGGUUUUCCACUUUCGCUUCAUUGUCAUGUUUAGCUUUCAGACGAAGAAAAUCUAUGGACUUUAGAGUUCUUUUGGGCCUGCGUUGAACAUAUUUUAAUUACCUUUGUUCAUUUCCAAUCUCCUUCCAUUUUUAAAUAGAGUGCAGAGUAAAAUCUACUCUAAUCUUAUUUUAUUUUUGUUGACAAAAAAACUAUUUUAUUUUCACUUUAUAAAUUAAGAUUACUACAAAAAUAAAGUAAUUAUUUUAUUUUAUAUAUAUAUUUUUUCAUUUUUACUCCAAAACAUAGUAGGUUGAAGUGAAACUCAACUACACUAUAGACUUCUUUUUUUUUUUAGAAAAUGGAAUAAUACAUUUGAUAUUAUUAUAAUCAUGUUGGUUAUGAAAUUUAGAAAGCCACAAAUAUCUUGAUAUAGUUUUAUUAGCUUUUAACAAUAUGAAUUAUAAAUUCUAUAUACAUUAGCUCUCUAAAAUUUAAAGAUGAAGACUAAUGUUUCAGUAGAAUAUGUCAAUAACCAAUCCUACUUAAUUUUUUUUAAACUAAGGUAGUAAGCACUUAAUAGCACCUGGCUUGUUUUUUUAACUUAGCCUUUGGCCAAAUUUUCUCAACCAUUUAUAGAAAGAUGGGGUCGAAAUCCCGUGCUUGUUGCUAGUUAAUCAGAACGUUUUGCUUCUAUGUAAAAUUUCUAACCUUUUGUUUCCUUUUUGUAUUGCUUUGUGCUCCUUUUUCUUUUGUGUAACUGAUCUUGGCAGCAAGUUUAAUUUCCGAUCAGGACUCUGUGACAAGUGUCAAUCUUCAUUGUUGGUACCACUAUUGCUCUAUAAAAUGGAAAAGAACAAAAUGUUCCGAAGUUGUGAACAAUUUCAAGCAUAUAUACAGGAACAUUCUUUAUAUAACCACAAAACAUCAUAAAAGACACUUACAAGCUAUUGAAAAGAGAAAAGAUGAUUUUAAAAAGUAUAGUUUAUAUAUCUUUUCAUUUGUAAUGAUAAUUCAAAAAUGAAGUAUGGCCGACAUGUUAAAAAGUAGGUGUUAUAUAUCGAUUAACUAGAAGAAUCUGUUGAGAUAUCUCUGAAGAAGCUUUGCAACUAUGUUUCUGUAAGCUGUUUCAGUGGGAUGAAAACUGUCCCAAAACACAUAAUCCGAUCUCACGGGACAUACAGCGGCUGUAUAGUUGUUGCAUAGAGCAGUCACUUCUAUUAACCCGGUUCCGCAACAUCCUAAAUUACUCACCUUAAAUCCUAUAAAAAAUUCAUGAAAAUAUGUUAAAAGAAUUGAUUGUUUCAUUGAAAAGAGAAGUAAUGACGAAUUACCAUAUUGUUGAGGGUUUAAAAUGAGAUCAAGAAGAGGAUCAUAGAUGUCAAUAUAUAUUAAAGUCGUGUCUUGUAGGGUUCUUGACAAGCCAUCAAUAUUAGCAGAGAGUUUAGCAUUGAAAAGUUUACACGCAUCAUUAAACCGAACAACACAAUCUCUUGUUGGUCCUCCAGCUACAGUUCUCUGCGAAGGGACACAUCCUAUUGGUGGUGCACCAAACAUAAGUAUUCUUCUUGCACCAUAUUGGUACAGUGUCUACCAACAUCACACGAUAAACCAAAUAAGAGAUUAAAUAUAAUUCUUCAAAUAAUUUUCUAAAGUAGCAAAAAUCUAUAAUUACAAUAGUACAGUAAUCAAUUAAGAGAAGAAAGGUCAACAUGAAUUUAUGAUAAUUGAUAACCUUGCAGUAAGUAAAACUCUAAAAGUCAUCCCUAUCAAGGAUUUUUCAAGUAUAGACUUUCACAAUAUACAUUAAUAUUUAUAGUAAGAAAAUUUCUCAAAAACUUAACAGAUUUGUGCCAAGUCUUUUAUUUGAAAAAAUUUAUAUGAUUUUUUGGGUUAAAUUCACCCAUUAUAAUAUUAAUGUAUGGUGAAAAGAUUUUCUUUAAAAAACUCUAGCUAAUGAUGCUCUAAAUACCGUUGGCUUUUUACCCUAGCAAAAGAGCGAGCAUUGUCGGCCAUAAGAGCAGUGAAAGAAGCCACGUUGUAUUGGAGCUGAGUCGUAGGGAGACUAAAGAAGUUGUUUGCGAUAUCGUUACUACCACAUAUAAUAACGAACAAGCUAUUCGUAAUUAUGAACGUUGUCCUCUCUUGUCCCACCAUUCCAUUCAAUUUCUCUAUAUACUCUUCAAAAAAUUUCAGUUGUUGCGAUAAUGGUAUUCCUCCCUUUAACGAUUAGAAAAAACUAAUAGUUAAUAUUUAAAAGUUCAUUAGAUAAACAUCAAACAUAAGAAGUGGUGAUUAGCUAUACCGCGAUUUGUGUUGUCAAAGGAACAUAACCAGCACCACCCGACGCAAAUGUUACACCGGUUAAGAGAUCUUCUUGUCUUAGAUUAGGAUCUCGGUAUGCUGGUAUAGUUGGCUUAAUCCCUAGUUCUUCCGCUAUAAACACAAUAAAGAAUCGAAAUAUAAUAUAAUCAGAUAAUACAUUGCAACUUGGUGUUUUAACUUUAGUCCUUAUUGUACAUAUCAAUUUAUUUGAGUGUACGAAAUAAAGUUGGUCACGGUUGCAAGUCAUUAACCAGCUAGCUAAUGCAUUUGAUAUGUAGAUAAAUAAUGUGUGGUUAGUGUUAUGGAACACUUUAGAAGAUUAGUCAACGAAGAAAAAAUAAAACAAGAGGUAAACAAACCUAGAAUAUCAGUGGGGACUUUUCCAUUGGAGAAUCUUCCCGUCGGAACUCCACCGUCGAAAUCAAUACCAUAAGGAGGAUAAUCACAUCUAGCCUCCGUUAUCAAAUCGUCGUUGUUUCCUGCAUCAACAAUUGAAUCUCCGAACACUAUUAUAGCCGGAACUGUCGUGUUUUCCGGAAGUUUCACUAAAGCAUUAGUGGUUGUAGUAAACAACAACACAAGGAAUGAGAUACAAAAACAUAGUAUGGACGAAGAAGAGGGAAACAAAUAUGAAAUGAUGUGAUGAUGAAUAGAACGACGUCGGUCCAUAGUUUGCUAUGUAAGUAAGGUGUAUAUGUCUGAGAGAGUCUUGUUUUUUGACAGCUUUGGAUUAUGAGUAUAAAUAAUACUCCUCCCGCUUGUGUGAGGAGUUUGGUUUGGUUGAGUCAUAAAUUGAAGGCAAUGACUUAUUUUUUUCUGUCAUGAUAUUCUAAUACCUCAGUACGUGCUUUGGUUAGUGGGCCAGUGUUUUUAAUUAACAACGACACUUUUUCAAUCAAAAUGCCAUUUGACCUUUGUUUGAAACUUUCGAUAUGUUGACUCAAUAAUAAUUAUAUAGAAAGAACUUUUCCUAAACGGUAUAAAUUAUUCCUUAAGAGCUUUGAAGCAGAUUUAUUUAGACUGAAGCACACCUAAAGUCCAAACCGAGAAAAGUGAGUCGUGAGUUGAGUAGCGAUGUGAAGGAAUCAUGCCAAUUUAGCACGGACAAUGAGUUGAUUUUAGUCAUGAGAACAUCAAAGGGACGAUGCAUUUUACGGUGAACACGAAUGUUACACUUUCACCAAAUUUCAUUGAUAGAUGCAUAAAGUAUUAAUUGGCGGUCACAUCGACUGCAUGAGAGAUUAGUAAAGAGGGUAUCCCUGGAUCGCAGAAAGAGGGGACAAUGCCUGCUCCAACUAUCAGGGCAGUCCUGAUGACCGCAUGCCCUGCCCGCAAGACAAACAGACUAAAUCAAUAAUUAGGAUCAUUAUCAUUAAAAGGCAAAGACAAAUUACACAAGAGACUAGAAAAUUUUCUAGAGCAAUACCUACCUAUAGACAUAUAAAAAUAUAAUUAAUACAUUUUAUAUAUAUAUAUUUUUUUUUGUUCAACCCAUUUUAUAUAUAAUGAAUAGAUUUGUAGCAAAAAAAUAUUAUAUAUAUAGAAUUUCUUUUGAAAUUGUGUUUCUGUUUUAGAUUGAAAAACAAGUUGGCCUUUAAAAAAUUGUUUUUGUCUCUUGAGAUAUUUUAUGAUUAUGUAAACUGUAAACAAUAAUCAUGUAUUUGCCCAAGAUAAAGUAUAAACAAAAAUCAUGAAUAUUUGUCUAUGCUUUAAUGUUUUGUUCACAACUGUUGUGUUAUUUUGCAUGUAAAUAGUCCUCUUCCGUUUUAGUUUUGUUUGUUUGUAUACUGCGUUAAUCAAUAAUCACCAUGGUUCGUAAAAUCCAUAUUCGGAUCAAUAUUGUACUUUCUACACCUUUCCCAAAUUAGAAUAGUCAGUGAAAUUUUGAAAUUUCCCAAAACAGAAAGUUGAUACGUAUACGCAAUAAAAGCAGCAUAUCUAACAUCGCGUACUAACUGUUUAUUUCUAUUUCACAUGGAACUGAAAUUGAGAAAACUAGAGACUGUCACCUUUUUCAUCAUUUCACCAUUCAAAAAUACUGACACUUCUAGUUUGAGGACAAAUAGUUACUACUAGAUUUGUUUAUCAAAGACUCAGUUAAGUCUUAUAGAUGUACAAACUUAUAUGACAAAUAAAGACAUACGUAACCUUAUACACUCUAACUAACGUUGAAUAGUUUAUCAUUUUCUCACAUAUGUAAAUUGCAUUUCUUAAAUAUAACCUCAGGGCUCAUAGUCUGAUACUCAGAAGACUAUUUUUUUUUCAACUUAGUUGAAAGUAGAAACUGAAAGUCUGAAACAUUCGGAUCAUGUGGCCAUCUAAAUGGAUGCCUAAAUAUCUAUUUCUAAACAAUUGUCAACGUCUUCACAUGGUUGUUAUCUUUGAUAUAAUAUCAAUGUCUUCUUGAAAUAGGUGAUAACAUUGGUAUUAAAUGAGAAGACCCACAAGGCUACAAUCCGUUCACCGUUGAAGCAAUAAAUAGAAAUGAACAAAUUAUAUAUUUACAUCACGAAAUAAAUAUGAUAAACUCUGAGCCAAUAAACACGUAACAGGUUUUUCAAAUAAGGUAUCUCUCGCUUAUCAAAAUAGUAGUAUAGAGUAGAAAAGGCUUUUGUCUUUGUUCAAGGCUUGAGAGCUAUAUAUAUGAAGCCUAAAAUAUUUAUUCAAACUGCCCGUGAUAGCAAUCUUUACUGGCUAUGCACCUUUAUUUUUGUUUUCAACAACAGUUUGGUCGUCUAAACUCUGAAGAACGUGUGAUCCCAUUUUUUAAGGGAGCCAAUUGAUCUAGCCUCGGUGAGUGACAUUCCUAUAGUCAAAAGCAAUGAUUUAAAACAAAUUAGGUGUUAGUUAAUUAGAUGUAUAAUUAAUUUAUGAAAAAUUGCCAAAAUAGAAUGAAAACAGCUUAUUUAUUCUUUUAGUAUAAAACUUUUUUUCUCAUUUUUGCCUUAAUUAUCUUUUCGAUUUUUCAAACUUAAUGAAAUAAAGAAUUUUAUGAAUCAAAAUUAUAAAAAAUAGAAACAAUUGAUGAAAUAUCCAGACACACUACUGGUAUUUUUUGGAGUUCUAAAACUUGUUAAUUUAAUUUUUUAUUUAUGUUAUACGGAAAGAAGAUAACAUCUUCUACGAAUAAUGGCAUGGUAGAAAUUGAAUCCCAGUUUAAACAAAUUAUUCUACUUUCACUAGAAUCAAUAAUUUACUUUUAAAUAGAAUUCUAAAUAUGAUGAAUGUGAAAUCUAGGCAUUUUAAAGGUAGCUACAUUUAUUUCGAAUGCAACUUCUAGUUUUAUGAAAAUUCUAAAGUUCUACGAAUACGAAAUCCAGACACAACUCAAAAGUCUACAUAUAGUAGAAUAUGUUUACCGAUUAGUUAUAUGUUCUACAGAUAAGAACAACCAGAUUUUCAAAAAUUCAGUUACAAAAUAUUCUUAAAAAAAUUGGAAAUUUUUUACUUUCCUAAAAACGUGUAUCUGUUGUCUUCUUGUAAAAAUAAAAAUAAAAAACUUGUUCUUUAUCAGAGCACGAUUUCUCCAUAGUUUUCUUGUGAUUUUUACAAACUCUUCUUCUAUGAUGAAUAUCUUUAAUUUUGAGGGUUUGUUGGUUUAAUUUAAAAAUUUUAUUUUUUGUAUAAAAAACAUUUUUUUUAUUCCUAAUAUGUUUAUAAUAUUUAAACUACUUUUAAAUUAUAUUUAUUUGAUUAAUCAAAGGUUAAUAUUGGGACUAUGAGAAAAUUUAUACUAUAGGAACAAACUAAAGUUGGUUUUAUACUAUAUAAGGACAUAAGUGUGUGUGUUUCAUUCUUUUUUGGCAAAUUUCCCUUAAUUAUUAUAUUCAUGAGACAUUGUUUUUCAUCCAUAUGUAUUUGAUGAAAAAGCGAUGGGGUUUUUGCCAAAACUAACCCACAACUUGAUUUUAAUCCCAAACCUAUACUCAAACUUGAAUCAAAUGCAAAACUAACCUAAAAGCCUAGUGAAAUUACAGCUCAGCCCCUUGUGACCAAACAAAAAAACAGAAGCCAUUUUUACGAAUAUAGCCCCAGUAAAUCGUCUGAGUCGUCUGAGAUGUUGGAAGUCGUCU